This 612-nucleotide ribosomal RNA is filed under the name Cladonia grayi. RNAcentral describes it as "eukaryotic LSU rRNA". The stretch from base 240 to 393 matches the Rfam family "5.8S ribosomal RNA". The record is from RNAcentral. Lineage: Eukaryota; Fungi; Ascomycota; Lecanoromycetes; Lecanorales; Cladoniaceae.
AUGAGUUCGGGGGCCUAGCCCCCAGCGGCGGGUGUCGUUCAAGUCCUUUGGGGCUCGACCGGCGGUCGUCGUGUUUCUCAACCCCAUGUUUACCAUACCUUUGUUGCUUUGGCGGGCCUUGAGUAGGCUAUACGGCUCAUGCCGGCCCUAGACUUUAUUGCCUGGGGGCGGCUCGCGCCCGCCAGAGGUUUAACCAAAUUCUAUUAUCAGUGAUGUCUGAGCAAAUAUUCAAUAAUCAAAACUUUCAACAACGGAUCUCUUGGUUCUGGCAUCGAUGAAGAACGCAGCGAAAUGCGAUAAGUAAUGUGAAUUGCAGAAUUCAGUGAAUCAUCGAAUCUUUGAACGCACAUUGCGCCCCUCGGUAUUCCGGGGGGCAUGCCUGUUCGAGCGUCAUUACACCCCUCAAGCGUAGCUUGGUAUUGGACUUUCGCGGGCCUUCUUAUAGGGUGGAGCUCGCGGGUCCGAAAAGCAGUGGCGGUUCCCGAGGAUUUCGCGCGUAGUAAAUAUUAUCCCGCGUUGGAAAGAAUCGGUGGGCUUGCCAAAACCCCCCACAAUCUCCAUGAUUGACCUCGGAUCAGGUAGGGAUACCCGCUGAACUUAAGCAUAUCAAUA